UACAGCGGGUGCAAACGUUGUUCGGAAUUACUGGGCGUAAAGCGCGUGUAGGCGGCCAUCUAAGUCGGGCGUGAAAUCCCACGGCUCAACCGUGGAAGUGCACUCGAAACUGGAUGGCUAGAGUCCUGGAGAGGAAGGUGGAAUGCUUGGUGUAGAGGUGAAAUUCGUAGAUAUCAAGCGGAACACCGGUGGCGAAGGCGGCCUUCUGGACAGUGACUGACGCUGAGACGCGAAAGCGUGGGGAGCAAACAGG
RNAcentral lists this ribosomal RNA (253 nucleotides) under uncultured bacterium. RNAcentral describes it as "partial 16S ribosomal RNA". It matches the Rfam family "Bacterial small subunit ribosomal RNA", at positions 524 to 776 of the family's 1533-position model. The record is from RNAcentral.